GAUGGUGUAGCUCAGCGGUUAGAGCGGUUGACUGUUAAUCAACAGGUCGAUGGUUCAAAUCCAUCCACCAUCGCCA
Molecule: transfer RNA, 76 nt
Filed under: Escherichia coli
Lineage: Bacteria; Pseudomonadati; Pseudomonadota; Gammaproteobacteria; Enterobacterales; Enterobacteriaceae
Also listed under: 4 other names
Description: tRNA-Asn
Rfam family: tRNA
About the family: Transfer RNA (tRNA) molecules are approximately 80 nucleotides in length. Their secondary structure includes four short double-helical elements and three loops (D, anti-codon, and T loops).
Source: RNAcentral